AGCUUUAUAGUUUAUAUAAAACUUUAAUUUUGUAAAUUAAAAAAAAAUAAUUAUUUUAAAGCUA
This 64-nucleotide transfer RNA is filed under the name Eucera floralia. RNAcentral's name for it is "tRNA-Thr". Lineage: Eukaryota; Metazoa; Arthropoda; Insecta; Hymenoptera; Apidae. The record is from RNAcentral.